RNAcentral lists this small nucleolar RNA (121 nucleotides) under Prolemur simus (greater bamboo lemur). Its description in RNAcentral is "Small nucleolar RNA SNORA70 (ENSPSMG00000014627.1)". It matches the Rfam family "Small nucleolar RNA SNORA70". From Rfam's summary of the family: snoRNA U70 seems to be exclusive to mammals and is a member of the H/ACA class of snoRNA which contain H (ANANNA) and ACA box motifs. H/ACA box snoRNAs are involved in the conversion of uridines to pseudouridines (5-ribosyluracil) a constituent of structural RNAs (transfer, ribosomal, small nuclear, and small nucleolar). The record is from Rfam by way of RNAcentral. Lineage: Eukaryota; Metazoa; Chordata; Mammalia; Primates; Lemuridae.
CUGCAGGCAAUUAAGCUGACCGUGCUUCUCUCCUCAGGGGGGCCUGGUGUGCAAUGGCAGCCUCUUUGGUAGUGUAUGCAGCCUGUGGCUUGUAUGGGUUGCUAGGACUUUGGAGACAGUC